This 468-nucleotide ribosomal RNA is filed under the name uncultured bacterium. RNAcentral's name for it is "partial 16S ribosomal RNA". It matches the Rfam family "Bacterial small subunit ribosomal RNA", at positions 28 to 507 of the family's 1533-position model. The record is from RNAcentral.
GACGAACGCUGGCGGCGUGCUUAACACAUGCAAGUCGAACGGAAAGGCCCUGCUUUUGUGGGGUGCUCGAGUGGCGAACGGGUGAGUAACACGUGAGUAACCUGCCCUUGACUUUGGGAUAACUUCAGGAAACUGGGGCUAAUACCGGAUAGGAGCUCCUGCUGCAUGGUGGGGGUUGGAAAGUUUCGGCGGUUGGGGAUGGACUCGCGGCUUAUCAGCUUGUUGGUGGGGUAGUGGCUUACCAAGGCUUUGACGGGUAGCCGGCCUGAGCGGGUGACCGGCCACAUUGGGACUGAGUUACGGCCCAGACUCCUACGGGAGGCAGCAGUGGGGUAUAUUGCACAAUGGGCGGAAGCCUGAUGCAGCAACGCCGCGUGCGGGAUGACGGCCUUCGGGUUGUAAACCGCUUUCGCCUGUGACGAAGCGUGAGUGACGGUAAUGGGUAAAGAAGCACCGGCUAACUACGUG